Stegodyphus dumicola is the source of this 501-nucleotide long non-coding RNA. The record is from RefSeq and is a predicted model, not a curated record. NCBI's taxonomy places the organism in Eukaryota, Metazoa, Arthropoda, Arachnida, Araneae, Eresidae.
GCUACUAUGAUAUUUGCCAUCCUUACGACCUAGCAAGACUUAUCUCUUCAUAUGAUAUCAGACCUGCAGAGACAUUAUGUAUUUUUUGGGAGCAGGCAAGAUGAAAAAUCAGCAAUUGUCUUCACCGGGAAUCUAACCACGGACCUCUGGAAUAACGGCCCAGUGUGCAGACCACCACACCACGAAGGCACGCCAAGAAGGAAUUAUUUAAUAUUAGGAGAAAGAGCGAAUCCAGUCGAAUUUUCAAUAAAACUGCAUAGAUUUUGAGAGUGCACAGAUAUGGACCUCUUUUCUUGACGAACAAAAAAAAUUUUAGAAGUGGAUGGAAUAGCAACCGUAUUAAUAGCGGGCGAAGCAAUGAUCAUUUGCAUCAAGCAUGGAACAUUUUUAUUAUUAUAACUGUAAAAGCUUUCAGAUGACUGAACAGGAAUUCAUUUUGCGAAUGAGGAGAAAGGGAUUAAUAUUGGAAAAAUAAACUUUGCAAAUGUAAAAGGCUAAAAA